CAGUCGUACCUAUGGGUAAUCAGCCUUUUGGGUGUGAUUUUGUGGAGCGUGAGGAGUUAAACGCCCCCAUGCCUGCAUAUUCGUGCACUUUGGGUGUACGAAUAUGCAAAACAUGAAGGCGGUUAAGCUCCUCACGCCCCACAGAAUCGCACCCGAAAGGCUGAUUACUCCG
Molecule: ribosomal RNA, 172 nt
Filed under: Rhizophagus irregularis
Lineage: Eukaryota; Fungi; Glomeromycota; Glomeromycetes; Glomerales; Glomeraceae
Source: RNAcentral